AUAAAAUGUCCACCAUGAUGAAUACGAGAGUAUAUAUUUUCUAGUGGUUUUGUCUUUGUGGAUGACCUCAGGCCAGCAGACUGGCAGCAGGAGCCAUGCAGAGAGCAGAGGAACCAUGCUGGGUAGCACGGCCAGCUCAUCCUCUAAGCCCAGAGCCCAGCUUGCAGCAGAAGUAGAUGAGCAUCCAGAAGGAGAAGAAGAAGGGAAGAUGAGAAAGGAUGAAGAUAAUACCGUUUAUCUGUUGGAAACCAAUCCCAGUACCACCGACCGUUGACAUUGCCAACCUUUCUUCUUUUCUUAUCAUUCUGUCUCAUUUUUGGUCCUGUGGAGUGUUUAAUUCUUAUAGAGAUGUGCUUCUCAUGGUGUUGUCUCGGUUUCUGAGAAGAUGUAUCAGUCGCGUCAGCAUUGACAACUCCUGCACAGGUAUGAUGAGAACAGAACAGGUGUUCUCAAAAAAAGAUGUAACUUUUAAAAACUUGGAGAUUGAAGAUCACAAUGGAUCAUCAAAAAAUGCAAAAGAAUCAGCCCCCCAGUACAUAGUUGUGUAUUCUUCGUUGUCGGUUCUUCUAGUUGUGGCAUGUGGGACGCUGCCUCAGUGUGGUUUGAUGAGCAGUGCCAUGUCCGCGCCCAGGAUUCGAACCAACGAAACACUGGGCCGCCUACAGCGGAGCGCGGGAACUUAACCACUCGGCCACAGGGCCAGCCCCCAAGGUUGGAAAGGAAGAUGUCAUUUCAGUCCUGAAAAAGUUUGACUUGCAUCUGAAGGACGAAUAUUUUGACGAUUUCCUGAAGAGAUGCGACCUUCUAAACAGUCUGACUGGCCGUAGGAAUUUGGAUACCUGAGAAACAUCCAGGAUGGCAGCGAUGAAGGGACCACGCGCAGUCCUCUCCAAGCCCGUGCGCAGGUUGCACGGACCCUCUAUAUUGUUACUGCUAGUCUUCUAAUCAGCUAUCUCCUACCAGACCCGUUGAUAAACACAAAGGACGGUCCUCACCUUUGUGGUGCCCUGUCCUCCUGGAGACCUUGACAUUAAUGGACAAGGGCAGCCUGGUCCAGAGACGGUCCAUGAGAAGUUGGCCUUGGGAAACAAAAGUGCUACAGGAAUGAACCUACUCUGUAUUGUUACUAAAACCGU
RNAcentral lists this long non-coding RNA (1136 nucleotides) under Equus asinus (donkey). Its description in RNAcentral is "lncRNA (ENSEASG00005036196.1)". The record is from RNAcentral. Lineage: Eukaryota; Metazoa; Chordata; Mammalia; Perissodactyla; Equidae.